This 253-nucleotide ribosomal RNA is filed under the name uncultured bacterium. RNAcentral's name for it is "partial 16S ribosomal RNA". It matches the Rfam family "Bacterial small subunit ribosomal RNA", at positions 524 to 776 of the family's 1533-position model. The record is from RNAcentral.
UACGAAGGGGGCUAGCGUUGCUCGGAAUCACUGGGCGUAAAGGGCGCGUAGGCGGAUGUUUAAGUUGGGGGUGAAAGCCCGGGGCUCAACCUCGGAAUUGCCUUCAAUACUGGACAUCUUGAGUACGGGAGAGGUGAGUGGAACUCCGAGUGUAGAGGUGAAAUUCGUAGAUAUUCGGAAGAACACCAGUGGCGAAGGCGACUCACUGGCCCGUUACUGACGCUGAGGCGCGAAAGCGUGGGGAGCAAACAGG